RNAcentral lists this ribosomal RNA (430 nucleotides) under Bacteroidota bacterium. RNAcentral describes it as "Bacteroidetes bacterium partial 16S ribosomal RNA". It matches the Rfam family "Bacterial small subunit ribosomal RNA", at positions 355 to 776 of the family's 1533-position model. Lineage: Bacteria; Pseudomonadati; Bacteroidota. The record is from RNAcentral.
UAGGGAAUCUUCGGCAAUGGGGGGAACCCUGACCGAGCAACGCCGCGUGAGUGAAGAAGGUUUUCGGAUCGUAAAGCUCUGUUGUUAAGGAAGAACGAGUGUGAGAAUGGAAAGUUCAUACUGUGACGGUACUUAACCAGAAAGCCACGGCUAACUACGUGCCAGCAGCCGCGGUAAUACGUAGGUGGCAAGCGUUAUCCGGAAUUAUUGGGCGUAAAGCGCGCGUAGGCGGUUUUUUAAGUCUAAUGUGAAAGCCCACGGCUCAACCGUGGAGGGUCAUUGGAAACUGGAAAACUUGAGUGCAGAAGAGGAAAGUGGAAUUCCAUGUGUAGCGGUGAAAUGCGCAGAGAUAUGGAGGAACACCAGUGGCGAAGGCGACUUUCUGGUCUGUAACUGACGCUGAUGUGCGAAAGCGUGGGGAUCAAACAGG